Psammomys obesus (fat sand rat) is the source of this 108-nucleotide small nuclear RNA. The record is from RefSeq and is a predicted model, not a curated record. NCBI's taxonomy places the organism in Eukaryota, Metazoa, Chordata, Mammalia, Rodentia, Muridae.
GUGUUCGCUUAAGCAGCACAUAUACCAAGAUUGGAAUAAUACAAAGAAGAUUAGCAUGACUCCUUCGUUAAGGAUGAUAAACAAAUGAGAAAGAAAAUACUGGUUUUU